AUACGGAGGGUGCAAGCGUUACUCGGAAUCACUGGGCGUAAAGCGCGCGCAGGCGGUCUUUUAAGUUGGAUGUGAAAGCCUACGGCUCAACCGUAGAACUGCAUCCAAAACUAUUAGACUAGAGUGUGAGAGAGGAAGAUGGAAUUAGUUGUGUAGGGGUAAAAUCCGUAGAGAUAACUAGGAAUACCAAAAGCGAAGGCAAUCUUCUGGAACACUACUGACGCUGAGGCGCGAAAGCGUGGGGAGCAAACAGCAUUAGAAACCCGAGUAGUCC
RNAcentral lists this ribosomal RNA (274 nucleotides) under uncultured bacterium. Its description in RNAcentral is "partial 16S ribosomal RNA". It matches the Rfam family "Bacterial small subunit ribosomal RNA", at positions 523 to 796 of the family's 1533-position model. The record is from RNAcentral.